AAUAAUAAUAAUAAUAAUAAAAGCUUGUUGUAGACCUCCCCUCUAGCCAUGUCAAGGCUGCUUUGAUCUUGGUAGGAACCUCCUUUAUUCCUUCAUAAUCUGUAGAUGUUAGCGACGAUGAGUGCUAAGUUAACUUCCAAGGCAAUGAGCUUAAAGCAUAUUUUUUUCAUUGUUGUCAAGUGCAGCCCAUGCACUUCAAAAAUUUAGUGCAUAUCAUCACUGAAAGGCAGCGCCACACCAUUUUCUUGUUGGAGCGCUUGCAUAGGGCUUUACUUCAUUUUCUGUGUGCCAUUUGUUCCUUGUUACUUCUUGGAUUCUUUUAGCUGUUGCUUACAACCAUUUAAUUUCCAGAAUACUGUGAGA
This 363-nucleotide unclassified non-coding RNA is filed under the name Hevea brasiliensis (rubber tree). The record is from RNAcentral. Lineage: Eukaryota; Viridiplantae; Streptophyta; Magnoliopsida; Malpighiales; Euphorbiaceae.